CAGGGAGACAACAAAAUGUUUAUAUUAUUAUUUUGUCACCUUAGGUCGAUCGGUAUCUCACGUUCUUAAUUUGUUAAGAAUUUCAUUUCCUAAGUUUUUCUAGGUCACACCCAUUAUUUUUCCUGGGCCAUUAGCUCAGGUGGUUAGAGCGCACCCCUGAUAAGGGUGAGGUCCCUGGUUCAAGUCCAGGAUGGCCCAUAUCUCUAUGUUGGGGGUAUAGCUCAGUUGGUAGAGCGCCUGCUUUGCAAGCAGGAUGUCAGCGGUUCGAGUCCGCUUACCUCCACUGAUUACCACCUCUUCCAUAAUCCGUAGAAAGGAAAUGUUUUGAGUUGUGAUCAUUAUUCUGAACGAAUCUAGCUUCCUAAUGAAAUCAUUAAGAUGCUGGACUCAUUGAAUUAAUUUCAUUGUUUUCAGAGAACCUUGACAACUGCAUAGAUUAUUUUUAAAGACAAUAAGCAUCUUUAAUGAUGCAGAUUUAUUAUUUGUGCGAAUGCAUUAAUAACAAUUCUAUUAAGCUGAUGCUUCAAUUUUUGAAGUUAUU
This 541-nucleotide transfer RNA is filed under the name uncultured Prochlorococcus sp. RNAcentral's name for it is "partial 16S-23S ribosomal RNA intergenic spacer". The stretch from base 211 to 283 matches the Rfam family "tRNA". Lineage: Bacteria; Bacillati; Cyanobacteriota; Cyanophyceae; Synechococcales; Prochlorococcaceae. The record is from RNAcentral.